This is a long non-coding RNA of Amphibalanus amphitrite, 1326 nucleotides long. RefSeq lists it as uncharacterized. Lineage: Eukaryota; Metazoa; Arthropoda; Thecostraca; Balanomorpha; Balanidae. The transcript is spliced from 4 exons. The record is from RefSeq and is a predicted model, not a curated record.
GGGAAGCGCUUUAUUGAUGUGGUGGCAUUGAUGGGGAGGGUUAUUGUUAUUGGAAUAUGUAGGGGCAGAGAUUUCGCUUCCAAGAUGGAUGGAACCUAUACUGGGGAGAGAACUGCAUCUGUAACCAGCCUGCUGAUGGCUGCUACAACACAGGCUGUCGCCCCUCUCCCUGCGUGCCGGUGCAGUCAGCGUACGCCAGUUUUCGCAAAAGAACCACCAAGCAUUCGCCGGCUCACGGUGGUGGCGGAUGCCGCCAGCUACCUGGCGUCCUUGCGAUAAAGAUGCUGGCUGAUCCUGGGCGGCUGCGGCGACGGCAUGGCGGCUGCCGUGUGCCCGGCCCUCACACCAGCUCUGAGCUCAAAGAGUACCUGCCUGACCUGUGCGACGGCGUGUCGCUGAAGACCGGUUUAUACGGUCCGCGGAGGCCGUGCUUGGAAAUGACUGAGUGCCGUCGGAGGUGUUCAGUAACCUUUUGAUAUGCUUAUCAGAAUUUUUGUCGUGCGAUUGAGGUAGAAGAAUGAGGUCUGAAUGGACUAAUCGGCUUGGGCCUGAGCCAGCCAAGCGACACCGGCUUGUCGUCCGGUGUGGAAGCUGAUGUUACCGCUGCAUUCUAGGGUCAUUAGUUUCAUAACAGCUACGUUCGCGGCAGAAGUGUUGCGAUGGACUAAAAGUGCAGGCUGACGUGUGAGAGGUGUGUGAAAAAAUGUGUGUCAGCCUUGCGGAAGAACUUCGCUAAGCAAUUUUUGUGCGUGUGUGCGUGGGCGUGCGCGUUUUGCAGUAAGUUCAUAUUGGAGCGUUUUGUUUUAAACUUCCUUCACUUUAUGCUUGCUCGAGCUUAGACAUUUACUUAAGUGAGCCAAGAGCCAAGCCAAGAGUUUCGGCAUGAUGUGCCGAAAUUGUAUGUGUGUCCUAUUCCUGACCGGACACUAACGUCGGUCGGUGAGGAUGGACCAAAGUCGACUGUAGACGCGGAUACCGAUAUAGCGUGCGACGGCCCCAAGGUGGUCCACAAUAUGUCAUUCCUUUUAGUGGGUAGGCAUCGUUAACCUGAAACGGCCAUUGGUGUCCUUUCUUGCGUGUUAUAAAACUGAAGCUGUGAUAUCGUACAACACAGUGUCGAUUGGAGGGUAAGCAGUUUCUGAGUCAAGGAUAGUAGUAACGCAUGUGAUUUAGUAAUAAUGAUUUACUAGAACGUCUGUGAUGUAAGAUAAAAGGGAUUUAUCUAAGUAGAAACAAAAAAAGUGCAGAGACUAUUCAAAUGGUCACACCGUGUUAUAUGCUUGUUCUUUGUUCGGUUUUGUAGCAAUACAUGCCAUAAAGUAAGUG